Astatotilapia calliptera (eastern happy) is the source of this 701-nucleotide long non-coding RNA. Lineage: Eukaryota; Metazoa; Chordata; Actinopteri; Cichliformes; Cichlidae. The record is from Ensembl.
GUAAGAGUCCAGUGCAGGGCUGGUCUUCUUUAAAUCACAUGAGGAACCAUUUUAAGGCGGAGGCUGCUCGCUCUGUGCUUUCUGUUUCAUUCUUAGACUGCAGCAAUGGCUGACCAAGAGCAAAACAGAAAAGAAGACUUUCUGAAAACUCAACAAGGUUUCAGAGAAAAUGCCUACAAGAUUAUCAUGAAGAUGGAUGACUGGUCUAACAUGGCUCCAGGAAGUAAACACUUAGUGGAUGAGAUUCUUCACAGCAUCUUCUUUUUGGGCAAAAUCAACAAAAUCCCUUUUUCUCCAGAAGAAAUAAUCUCUGAUGGUGAUAUUUUGAAAGCCUUAAAGAACAAAUUUCCCAGACCUUUUCAAUUCUAUCUGACUCAGCUUCCCAGACGGAGUCCGUUCUCCUGUGUGCUCGACAUGAUUGUCCUGCUGAAUAAUCCAGAGAAUGAAGAGCAAAUUAAGCAGAGUCUGCAAGAACUCAUCAAAGACCAAGCUCCACAUUUUCUGGUCUCCUCCACCAUCUGCAUUUCUCAGAAAUCCUGUUCAAAGAGGUAAUACGGAGUCUCCAUGCCCACCAACGGUCCUAACCCGGGAAAAAUUGUGAUUGCUGCCUCCUGUCUUAGCAAAUGGGAUGAAUAUGUAUCUGGUGCAGUGAUGACCUAUUAUCUAAACAAGGUCAAGAAAAAUGACUUUGAUGGAACCAC